CAGCCACCGCGGGAAUACAGAGGGUGCGAGCGUUAAUCGGAUUUACUGGGCGUAAAGCGUGCGUAGGCGGCUUUUUAAGUCGGAUGUGAAAUCCCUGAGCUUAACUUAGGAAUUGCAUUCGAUACUGGGAAGCUAGAGUAUGGGAGAGGAUGGUAGAAUUCCAGGUGUAGCGGUGAAAUGCGUAGAGAUCUGGAGGAAUACCGAUGGCGAAGGCAGCCAUCUGGCCUAAUACUGACGCUGAGGUACGAAAGCAUGGGGAGCAAACAGGAUUAGAUACCCCAGUAGUCCCUGUCUCUUAUAC
Molecule: ribosomal RNA, 301 nt
Filed under: uncultured bacterium
Lineage: Bacteria
Description: partial 16S ribosomal RNA
Rfam family: Bacterial small subunit ribosomal RNA
Source: RNAcentral